UUUUUCCCUCGAGAAGGGGGGAAAGGCUUGGGGUGGCGGGAUGGAGGUGAAACUCGUACAUUUUACUGGCAACUUAAAAUUAUUUUGUGCUUACAUUGGAAGGAUUGUUGAGCACACAGUACUUGCCAAGGGAUUCACUACUUCGAUGUGGCUGCACAAUGAGUUAAGCAGCUGCAUUACUUUCUAUGGAUUGGGUCAUCUUUUGGUUUUUAUGUCAUUAUAUUUUGGUUCUGAACUUCUAGUUUUUUAUUUUACUUGCCAACUACUUAGUGUUAGGCUAUAUGCUACAAUUGUUGCUUUCUAAUUUCAUCUAAUAGUAUCAUAUUACACUUUCUUUCUAUUUUAAGU
Molecule: long non-coding RNA, 348 nt
Filed under: Amborella trichopoda
Lineage: Eukaryota; Viridiplantae; Streptophyta; Magnoliopsida; Amborellales; Amborellaceae
Description: long non-coding RNA (ATRI_LNC003740)
Source: RNAcentral